UACGUAGGGUGCGAGCGUUUAAUCGGAAUUACUGGGCGUAAAGCGUGCGCAGGCGGUUUUGUAAGCCAGAUGUGAAAUCCCCGGGCUUAACCUGGGAAUGGCAUUUGGGACUGCAAGGCUCGAGUGCGGCAGAGGAGACUGGAAUUCCUGGUGUAGCAGUGAAAUGCGCAGAUAUCAGGAGGAACACCGAUUGCGAAGGCAGCUCGCUGGGACGUUACUGACGCUGAGACGCGAAAGCGUGGGGGAGCAAACAGG
Molecule: ribosomal RNA, 255 nt
Filed under: uncultured bacterium
Lineage: Bacteria
Description: partial 16S ribosomal RNA
Rfam family: Bacterial small subunit ribosomal RNA
Source: RNAcentral